UUGAACGCUGGCGGAAUGCUUUACACAUGCAAGUCGGGCGGCAGCGCGGGGGCAACCCUGGCGGCGAGCGGCGAACGGGUGAGUAACAUAUCGGAACGUACCCAGACGUGGGGGACAACUAGUCGAAAGACUAGCUAAUACCGCAUACGUCCUGAGGGAGAAAGCGGGGGAUCGCAAGACCUCGCGCGUUUGGAGCGGCCGAUAUCUGAUUAGCUAGAUGGUGGGGUAAAGGCCCACCAUGGCGACGAUCAGUAGCUGGUCUGAGAGGGUGAUCAGCCACACUGGAACUGAGACACGGUCCAGACUCCUACGGGAGGCAGCAGUGGGGAAUUUUGGACAAUGGGGGAAACCCUGAUCCAGCCACUCCGCGUGAGUGAAGAAGGCCUUCGGGUUGUAAAGCUCUUUCGGCAGGAACGAAACGGCGUAAUCUAAUACAUUCCACUAAUGACGGUACCUGAAGAAGAAGCACCGGCUAACUACGU
Molecule: ribosomal RNA, 482 nt
Filed under: uncultured bacterium
Lineage: Bacteria
Description: bacterial SSU rRNA
Rfam family: Bacterial small subunit ribosomal RNA
Source: RNAcentral